This 72-nucleotide transfer RNA is filed under the name Spirochaetia bacterium. RNAcentral's name for it is "tRNA-Val". It matches the Rfam family "tRNA". Rfam says of the family: Transfer RNA (tRNA) molecules are approximately 80 nucleotides in length. Their secondary structure includes four short double-helical elements and three loops (D, anti-codon, and T loops). Further hydrogen bonds mediate the characteristic L-shaped molecular structure. tRNAs have two regions of fundamental functional importance: the anti-codon, which is responsible for specific mRNA codon recognition, and the 3' end, to which the tRNAs corresponding amino acid is attached (by aminoacyl-tRNA synthetases). tRNAs cope with the degeneracy of the genetic code in two manners: having more than one tRNA (with a specific anti-codon) for a particular amino acid; and 'wobble' base-pairing, i.e. permitting non-standard base-pairing at the 3rd anti-codon position. The record is from RNAcentral. Lineage: Bacteria; Pseudomonadati; Spirochaetota; Spirochaetia.
GGGUGUAUAGCUCAGUGGGAGAGCACUACCUUGACAUGGUAGGGGUCGUAGGUUCAAUCCCUACUACACCCA